UACGAAGGGAGCUAGCGUUGUUCGGAAUCACUGGGCGUAAAGCGCACGUAGGCGGAUGUGUCAGUCAGGGGUGAAAUCCCGGAGCUCAACUUCGGAACUGCCUUUGAUACAGCACGUCUUGAGUCCGAUAGAGGUGGGUGGAAUUCCUAGUGUAGAGGUGAAAUUCGUAGAUAUUAGGAAGAACACCGGUGGCGAAGGCGGCCCACUGGAUCGGUACUGACGCUGAGGUGCGAAAGCGUGGGGAGCGAACAGG
RNAcentral lists this ribosomal RNA (253 nucleotides) under uncultured bacterium. RNAcentral describes it as "partial 16S ribosomal RNA". It matches the Rfam family "Bacterial small subunit ribosomal RNA", at positions 524 to 776 of the family's 1533-position model. The record is from RNAcentral.